RNAcentral lists this ribosomal RNA (282 nucleotides) under Escherichia coli. RNAcentral describes it as "partial 23S ribosomal RNA". It matches the Rfam family "Bacterial large subunit ribosomal RNA", at positions 2211 to 2492 of the family's 2925-position model. Lineage: Bacteria; Pseudomonadati; Pseudomonadota; Gammaproteobacteria; Enterobacterales; Enterobacteriaceae. The record is from RNAcentral.
UGUUUGAUGUUCUAACGUGGACCCGUGAUCCGGGUUGCGGACAGUGUCUGGUGGGUAGUUUGACUGGGGCGGUCUCCUCCUAAAGAGUAACGGAGGAGCACGAAGGUUGGCUAAUCCUGGUCGGACAUCAGGAGGUUAGUGCAAUGGCAUAAGCCAGCUUGACUGCGAGCGUGACGGCGCGAGCAGGUGCGAAAGCAGGUCAUAGUGAUCCGGUGGUUCUGAAUGGAAGGGCCAUCGCUCAACGGAUAAAAGGUACUCCGGGGAUAACAGGCUGAUACCGCC